Molecule: non-coding RNA, 745 nt
Organism: Camellia sinensis
Lineage: Eukaryota; Viridiplantae; Streptophyta; Magnoliopsida; Ericales; Theaceae
Source: RefSeq, a predicted model, not a curated record
UUUCAAUUCCUCUUGGUUAGCAAUAGCGUAAGGUACCUGUUAAGAGCAACAUUUCUAUGUUUGGUUGAAGGAAGGAAAUUAGGAGAAGACUGAAAUGUAGCUGUAGGGAAUGAAUUAUGGGUUUCCUUCUUCUUGUCAAAGUAGAAGAGAGAGGGAAAUAGGAAGGGAAUGGGUAUUAUGUCGUUAUAGGAUUAUAAUUUUUGUUUGGUACAUCAGAGGCCGUAGCCUUAGGGAGGUUUGAGUCUUGCCCUCCUAGUGAGGGGCAAGGGUUCUAGGCAACUGGGCUAGCCCUAGCCGGCUAGGAUUAUACCCUCAUUUUAUAAAACAUAAACCAACUUUUGGCAGACAAGAUUACAAUUUUGGUUUAUAGAAAGGUAUAUGAACUUCUAUUUGAUGCUGCCAGGCAUAUUGACUUUUCUAGGAAACUAUCAUUUUUGUUCUGAACAUUAGCAUGUAACAAGCAAAUAUAACUAAUUGGUGUUGAAGAAAUUCUUAGGGUAAAUUACACUGAUUACUUAAAGUAAUCGAAACUUACUAAAAGGGAGGUUAAAAGUAAACUUACUUUAACUUUCCUCUUGUAACCUUACUUAACGUAAUCGAAACUAAUGCAAAUGGUUUGUAGACAUAGGGAUAAGCAAAGAUAAAAUAUGCAUUUUACUAUAAAAAGAUGAAAAUAUCAUUAAUUUGUUCAUACAACUUCCGAAUUAUUGAUGAAAAGGGGAGUACGUGUUAUGUGAAUCAAAAA